GCCAGUGUGCUGUAGUGGUUUGAGUGUUGGACUACAACUCUAGAGACCAGGGUUCGAUUCUCAACUCGGCCG
This 72-nucleotide transfer RNA is filed under the name Phrynosoma platyrhinos (Desert horned lizard). Its description in RNAcentral is "tRNA-OTHER". Lineage: Eukaryota; Metazoa; Chordata; Lepidosauria; Squamata; Phrynosomatidae. The record is from RNAcentral.